RNAcentral lists this long non-coding RNA (1297 nucleotides) under Betta splendens (Siamese fighting fish). RNAcentral's name for it is "lncRNA (ENSBSLG00000023148.1)". Lineage: Eukaryota; Metazoa; Chordata; Actinopteri; Anabantiformes; Osphronemidae. The record is from RNAcentral.
AUGAAUGUGCUCAUACUUUAUUUUAGGCAGUGCAUGGGGAAAUGGAAGUUAAGAUCAAAGCCAAACCCAGGAGCUGCGCUGACUUUGUUUCAGUCAUCGAGAAGCAGAAAGGUCCUGGCAGCUACAUCUAUCCAUUCUACCUUUGGCCUCACUCAGUCAGCCCACAUUCACUUUCUCUCAACUAUCAACCAUCUCGAUUUUCUUCCUGAACUUGAGAAGUCGCAGCAAGCGUGGUGCAGGCGGCGGCGGCCCCGGUUGACGCGGGGUCGUGUCCUCAGACGGCGGCAGCCUGUUCACCCAUCAUGGGACUUUUGGGUUUCAGCAGAGCUAACCCGGCUAGUCAGCCGUGAUCGGCGCAAUCAAAGGGAGCGUAUGGCGCAUUACCGAAGAGGAUCAGCCUUGACUGGCAUCUCGUGGAGAAUCGCUUAGACACGGUGUCAUGGUCUUGGUGAACGUUGAGCACCAAUGUUAGCUCAGCACUGCUGUUUGCGCUGCCUCACAGAGCUGAUUAGCAUCCUGUUUUUAGCUAUGCACGAUUAGGAGAAAAUGCUAUUGAACCAGGCCAGUCAUACUGUACAGUAUGUUCCGUAUGUUGUAUAUGUCUUAUAUGUGCUGUAUCUGCUGUAUCUAUGUGUGCGUGUGUGUUCUCAAAUAUUGAUCUGCAGAUUAAAGUCAGUAGAAGGUGGGAUCACAGCUCCCACUCAGCAUAAUGUGCAGAUGAUUGCUCACUGUUAUUAUUUGGUUGAUAUGCAUGAAUCCUCCUUCUAGCUUCUCUUUUUCUUUUGGUCUUUUCCUGGUGAAUGCAUCUCCGUUUGCCGUUAUCUAAAGCCCCUCGCAGGCGGUUUGACUGUUCCUUUGUCUAUUACUAAAGGUUCUUUAAAGAUAAUGACUAAGUGAAGGCAGCGGUGUAGUCACAUUCACAGAAGCUUUGAACUGUUUUGUUUUUGUGGCAUCCGAAUUCCCUUCACCGAGCCUGUGAGUCAUCAUUGUGUGCUGAAUGAAAUCUGUCUACUUGGCUUUUCAAUGCUGCUCACGGUCAUAAUACUUGUCAACAUCGAGGCAUUCAACAAAGAAGCCGUGCCUCCUUCUGACAGAAAGAGUACAACAGGAUAGUAUCUGGAACUGGUGGAUCACAUACGCAAAUUAAAUAUAUUGCUAUUGUGUGUGUGUGUGUGUGUGUGUGUGUGUGUGUGUGUGUGUGUGUGUGUGUGUGUGUGUGUGUGUGUGUGUGUGUGUGUGUGUGUGUGUGUGUGUGCGUGUCUGUUGCUACUUUUUAAAACAUGUCGGUGUUGAUUUG